UGGGAGCUAGCUUGCUAGAAGAAGUCAUGGCGGACGGGUGAGUAACGUGUAAAGAACUUACCAUAUAGACUGGGAUAACAGAGGGAAACUUCUGAUAAUACUGGAUAAGUUAGUAGUAGCAUUACUAAGUAAUGAAAGGUAGCAAUACGCUAUAUGAGAGCUUUGCAUCCUAUUAGCUAGUUGGUGGGGUAAAAGCCUACCAAGGCGAUGAUAGGUAGCCGGCCUGAGAGGGUGGACGGCCACAAGGGGACUGAGAUACGGCCCUUACUCCUACGGGAGGCAGCAGUGGGGAAUAUUGGACAAUGGAGGCAACUCUGAUCCAGCAAUUCUGUGUGUGUGAAGAAGGUUUUAGGACUGUAAAACACUUUUAGUAGGGAAGAAAGAAAUGACGGUACCUACAGAAGAAGCGACGGCUAAAUACGUGCCAGCAGCCGCGGUAAUACGUAUGUCGCGAGCGUUAUCCGGAAUUAUUGGGCUUAAAGGGCAUCUAGGCGGUUAAACAAGUUGAAGGUGAAAACCUGUGGCUCAACCAUAGGCUUGCCUACAAAACUGUAUAACUAGAGUACUGGAAAGGUGGGUGGAACUACACGAGUAGAGGUGAAAUUCGUAGAUAUGUGUAGGAAUGCCGAUGAUGAAGAUAACUCACUGGACAGCAACUGACGCUGAAGUGCGAAAGCUAGG
This 681-nucleotide ribosomal RNA is filed under the name uncultured bacterium. Its description in RNAcentral is "bacterial SSU rRNA". It matches the Rfam family "Bacterial small subunit ribosomal RNA", at positions 70 to 764 of the family's 1533-position model. The record is from RNAcentral.